CGGGGCAUAGUAUAGUGGUAGUACGCACGCUUCGGGUGCGUGUGGUUCCGGUUCGAUUCCGGGUACCCCGACAA
This 74-nucleotide transfer RNA is filed under the name Candidatus Moraniibacteriota bacterium. RNAcentral describes it as "Candidatus Moranbacteria bacterium tRNA-Pro". It matches the Rfam family "tRNA". From Rfam's summary of the family: Transfer RNA (tRNA) molecules are approximately 80 nucleotides in length. Their secondary structure includes four short double-helical elements and three loops (D, anti-codon, and T loops). Lineage: Bacteria; Candidatus Moraniibacteriota. The record is from RNAcentral.